This 124-nucleotide small RNA is filed under the name Salmonella enterica subsp. enterica serovar Muenchen. RNAcentral describes it as "partial RtT sRNA". It matches the Rfam family "RtT RNA". From Rfam's summary of the family: This family represents a bacterial cis-regulatory element known as RtT RNA. The record is from RNAcentral. RNAcentral also lists the same sequence under 3 other names. Lineage: Bacteria; Pseudomonadati; Pseudomonadota; Gammaproteobacteria; Enterobacterales; Enterobacteriaceae.
AUAUCUCUCUGUACGGGAAGGAUGAGAAGCUUCGACUAAGGUUCGAUUCGAGCGCAGCGAGAAAGCGUUGCCGCAGGCAACGACCCGAAGGGCGAAGCGCGCAGCGCUGAGUAAUCCUUCCCCC